This 1334-nucleotide long non-coding RNA is filed under the name Olea europaea subsp. europaea. The record is from RNAcentral. Lineage: Eukaryota; Viridiplantae; Streptophyta; Magnoliopsida; Lamiales; Oleaceae.
GGAAACAUGCUUAUAUAUUUGGUACAAGAGAAAAAAGAAACUCAACCUAUAUAAUUGGGACGGAGGGAGUAUUGGAUUGGAUAAUAUUAAAAAAUUUCAAUUAAUAUAUAAGUGCACUAAAACGUAAAUCUCAUAUUAACUAUCAAGUUUUCAUUUCAAAAAUCACCAAUUUUGACAAAUUCUAAAAGAUUCCAUAAGUCCAUGGAUGAGGAAAUCCCCCCAAUGGUCACUAAACUUUGUAGAAAAUUUCUAGGAGGUCAUCGAAUUUCAAUACGUCCCUAAAUAGUUACUGAACUUUACCGAAGUCCCCCAAGAGGUUAAUGAACUUUAAAACGUCCCUAAAUGGUCACUGAACUUUGUCGAAAUCCCCUAGAGAGAUCAUUCAACGUUGCAAAUUGGGACCCCAAACAUAGCUAGUUUAGUGACCUCCCAGGGUUUUUUAUAAAGUUCAGUAACCAUUCGGGAACAUUUUAAAAUUCGGUGACUUUUUGGGAGAUUUCGAAAAAGUUCAGUGACCAUUCAAAGACGUAUUGAAGUUCGGUGACCUCCUAGGGAAUUUUCUGCAAAGUUCAAUGACUAUUGGGGAUUUCCUCAUCCAUGGAUACUAAAAGUUUCCAUUUCCAAAAUCCCCGAUUUUCACAAAAUCCUCAAUUUUCACAGAUUCCAUAGUCCACAUAAAUGAUAUCACAUAUUCUCAAAUACUAAUGAGAGGCUCACAACUCACAACUCAUAGAUAAACUCACAGUAAAUUCUCAUAAAACAUAAACUCAUAAAUUCAUAAUUUAUAACUGAUUAAUUUAAUUGAUAACUCAUAAUUUCAUAAUAAUAAAUCAAUAAACGAACUAGAAGAACAAAAACCAAAAAAUUUAAAAAAAAAAUGAAGAAAGGCACGAGGCUCACCGCUUACUUCACGCCAUCACGAGUGGAAUCAGUUACCAGCAAUGCAGUGGUUAUGUAGUGCUACAGUGGCCGGUGGCUCAACAUCGAGGACCCGAUGGUGGCUCAGCGUGAGUGCCAACAGCGGAGAAUAGGGUUUAGAAAUUGGAAUUGGAUGGAAUUGUUUGAUUUCAGGGUUGAAGUGCCGAGUACAUUUGUGGCUCUUUGUGUGUGAUUUGUGAAGUGAAUAAAAUCAGCAAACCAAACAGGCUUUGCAUCUUCAAUCCAUUGGGUUGAGUAAUUGGGCCAAAUAUUUUUUCUACGCUUCAAUCUUUGUCCAUGGCAGCACGACAACUGUAGGUUCCGAUGGAGCCAGCACACCUGGCUAUGUACCCAUGUUGGGUGUUGGCUCGGCUCUUCACCAGCCUCUAACAUGGGGGCGAAUUUAGAAAUUUUUG